Molecule: long non-coding RNA, 2151 nt
Organism: Mus musculus (house mouse)
Lineage: Eukaryota; Metazoa; Chordata; Mammalia; Rodentia; Muridae
Product: predicted gene, 46085
Exons: 3
Source: RefSeq, a predicted model, not a curated record
GGCCCCAUGACACGCCCGCCCGCACGCCCGCCCGCCGGGCCCUGCCCCCAGCCCGCGGAGCCGAGCUUCUCCUCCGGCUGCUUGGCGCGCGAGCUCUGGGCACGUGUGUGUCUGCGGAGUGGGCUGUGACUGGGAGGGCCAGUGUACUCUGAGACGUGAGACGGUCAAGCCUGCGGAUAAAGGUGCGGCUGCCUGUGCUGGGGACCUGCUCUUUGCUGCUGGAACCUCCAGCUUUUCAAUUGUGUUUAGUCUUCUACAAGUGAGGCCACCUGUGUGAUAGAGUGACAACUCUUGUGUAGCCUGUUCCCUCAUCUGUUCUCAGCUUUAGAAAUGCUACAUCCUGGAGCUGUGCACCCAAACAGGCUUAGUCUGUAUGUAUUGCUUGAGUGCCUGGAAUGCACACCUGGGACCUCUCCACUGUCGCCCACUGUUUAGAAAAGAAAACACAGUUUUCAAGGAGAAAUAUGUGCCAGUGGAGGAAGUCUUUUCCCCAGGUCACAAGCCAGGGUCUCAGAAGGACUCUCAGAUUGUGCAUUCCUGCUGUUCCCCAGGCUGAGAGGACAAAACAGGUGAGCACUUGGGCCUCUCACUAGGUGGCUGAUAAUCAGAUAAAAACCCUAAAGGACAACUGUCAAAAGGAGAGCAAGAGAAAAGGAUUCUUUCCUGAGCAUAAUUCCUUCUCUCAGAACUGGAGCUGUCCUUUCCUGCUUAUCUGUGUAAAUGACAGAAAGGAAAAACGAAGACAAAACAAAACCAACAGAAAACCCCCAAAACCCCAACUCUGUUUACACUGAGCCAAAUCACCAAAAAGAAUUAGAACCCCUCGCCCAUGGCACUGCUUGUGAAGUGCCAGGAAUAGUGCUUACCCUAGUGGCCUGAAGUAAUCAGGCAUCUUGCUCAGCAUCCCUUUCUGCACUGGGGAUUGAUUUAGGCCACUGGGAAAAUGAGGACCCAGGGCUUUGCAGCUGAGCCACAACUCUUUUUCUCAGUCACAGGAAACACUGGCAUUGGGGGCUCACACAGCAUCAAGUCCCACUUGUUCUGAGGGUUUGGUCCGAUAGGAAAAGAAGAGCUGCUCAAACUGAUAUUUCUUUUCUUUGUCUUUCAAGUGGUGUUCUUCCCAGAGGCAGCACUUGUGCUUUGUCUUUUUGUUGGGUUUUGUUUUGGGACCUACUUCUAGUGUUAGGAUCCCAGUGUUCUUUAAGAGUUUUUUUUUUUUUUUUUUUUCCCUUGAAGUAUUUGUCUUCCUCCCCAAUUCUCUAAAACUGAGGGCUUUCAAGGAGUACACUAGACAUCACAAUUUUCUGGCUUCUGCAAAAGCUACCUAGUCAUUCAUGGUACAGGGAAAGUAAUGGUAAAGUCUGCAUUUACCAUCUGGGCGGGGUAUGGAGGUUUGUGUAGGAUAACACACAGCUCUUCUGCCUAACCUUCCUUAGAAAGAACCUUAAGUAAAAUUGAGAACCGUGCAGUAAAUACGAGCUGUUUAAUUUCAACAAAACUUAAUUCUAGCCUAACUGCGACUGACUCCUACGGGAGAAAGUUAGUAAUGAACUUUUACUGGCUCCUGAACAGUUUUUCAACCAAUGAAGAGCAUGAGCCCAUAUUUCUAUUUACCUCAUGCUACCACAAAGAGAUGCCUCCUCAUCCCAUAGCCGUGUAUAUAAACGUAAAGAUUGAGGUUUGGUGGCCAUGCUAGGAGAGCAGAGGGCAGAGCAAGAGGUGCAGAGCAAGUAGAUCCUGGCAGUGGAAUACUGUUGUAAUUUCAGAGUCAGGGUUAGUAAUGUCCUUAUGUUCCCUCUCUCUCUGAACCUUUGCCCUGGAUAAGGGGGAGUUGAAUUUAGCUUUAAGACUGGAUUAGUAAGAAGAGAAUGUGAAUGUUGGUGUGACAGGUGGAAUGGGGGAGGUCAGUAAAGCCCAGGGGCCAACAAUUAGCAGCUUCUUUUCCUUUGUACACAAAACCCAGCCAUUACUAGUUUCUCUUCUAAAACAUUUUUUAUAAUAAACAGUAAGCUGGUGCAGUGUAUGUCCAGUUCAUAUGUUGGUAAGGAUGUUUUGCUUACAAUUUAAUGAUGUUAUUUUUUAGUGAUAUGAUUCUAUUAGAAUUACUGAGAGUUUUAAUAAAAAGUUUAUAGAUGACAAAAAGGCUGAAGU